Molecule: ribosomal RNA, 40 nt
Filed under: Clavulina cf. rugosa O 67776
Lineage: Eukaryota; Fungi; Basidiomycota; Agaricomycetes; Cantharellales; Hydnaceae
Description: partial 25S ribosomal RNA
Source: RNAcentral
AUCANGUGGGACUACCCGCUGAACUUAAGCAUAUCAAUAA